CGAAAGCCUGACGCAGCAACGCCGCGUGGAGGAUGAAGGCCUUCGGGUCGUAAACUCCUGUCAGGGGGGACGAAAGCCUCGCAAGAGGUUUGACUGUACCCUCUGAGGAAGCCACGGCUAACUCCGUGCCAGCGGCCGCGGUAAUACGGAGGUGGCAAGCGUUGUUCGGAAUUACUGGGCGUAAAGGGCGCGUAGGCGGCUUGGCAGGUCAGAUGUGAAAGCCCCGGGCUUAACCUGGGAAUUGCAUCUGAAACUGCUUUGCUUGAGUCCUGGAGGGGGUAGUGGAAUUCCCAGUGUAGCGGUGAAAUGCGUAGAUAUUGGGAGGAACACCAGCGGCGAAGGCGGCUACCUGGACAGUGACUGACGCUGAGGCGCGAAAGCUAGGGGAGCAAACGGGAUUAGAUACCCCGGUAGUCCUAGCCGUAAACGAUGGGCACUUGGUGUUGGGGGUAUUGAGUCCCCCGGUGCCGGAGUUAACAUGGUAAGUGCCCCGC
This 494-nucleotide ribosomal RNA is filed under the name uncultured bacterium. RNAcentral describes it as "bacterial SSU rRNA". It matches the Rfam family "Bacterial small subunit ribosomal RNA", at positions 376 to 872 of the family's 1533-position model. The record is from RNAcentral.